UGUGUUUUGGAUUUUGUACGUGUUUUGGAGUUUGUGCGUGCUACUUAGAAUUUGUAAGUGUUUUGAAAUUUGUACAUGCUUUGUCUCUAGGGGCCACCGUACAUUGUAGAUGAUUUAAUGACAGAUAUUUAACCUGAAGAGGGCAAAGAUUUCCAAAGAGGAUGAGGACUUUAUUAAACAGGAAAGACUGCUCCAGAAUUUCUGCAGAGCAGCAAUGGAGAAAGACCUGUCACCUUUUGAUUUUAAGUGGGAGAUGAGGACCAGGAAAAGCAACUGACCGAAACACUGGAGAGUUCAAAGUCACGCAAAAGCUCCCAUUGUUCCGCUGCUGAACUGUGAGCAACCUGAACACUGGCAGAAGCAUCAGUGCACAUUUCGAGUGAGGAGCAGUCGGUCAGUUUGAAGAGGUGAACCAGAGGAAACAAUUAAAAAGACCUACAUCAUACAGCAGAUAUGUCAUUUAACUCCACCUCCAACUAUAUUAUGGAUGACAUCUGCUCCAUAAGUUCAUCGAAAUUGAUUCCAUACUACGCAGUGAAAAUCACCCUCCUCAUCACUGUCUGUUUCCUCGUCUUUUAUGUUAGUCACCAAAGAUGGCGGCGGCAGCGCUCCUUUAAAACAGCAAGCCACUCUGACAUCUUUACCUACCACAUGGCUGCUAUGGAGCUGCUUGGGGUCUUAGGGUGUAUCUUCAUGUCUUGGGGACUAUACACAGUUGAUUUGAGCGAGGCAGUAGGAUUUUAUGCUUCUUAUGUUGCUUAUUAUGGAGAGAUAUUGUUCCACCUCCUGACGUGUGUAGAGCGUUAUCUGGCUGUUGUUCACCCCAUCACCUACAUGAGUCUAAGAAAUGCCCGUGGGGUCAGGAUCAGAAACAUCUGCAUUUGUUUUGUUUGGGUGCUGAGUUUAGGACUGUCGGGUGUUGUAAUUUUAUUACCUCCUAUCCACCAAUCUGCCCCAACAUUCUGCAUUUUGGCUCCCUCCAUAAUAAUCAUAUCUUUCUGCAGCCUCUCUGUUCUCUUUGCUCUGAUUCGUCCAGGGCCAGGGGAAGCGGGUAGGGAAAGGGAGACAGUUGAAAAAUCUAAGCUAAGAGCUUUCUACACUGUCACAGCUAUAAGCUGUGCUGUGUGGCUAUGGGUUGUUGCGGUACUUUUAUAUAAUGCUCUCAAUACCUCAAUUAUAGUGAGCAGCACUGGGAAGUGUUUGAUGUUAAUGUGUCUUAUCUGUUUUAACCUUCCCAGCUGUUUGGUGUUACCUCUGCUGUAUCUGCAUAGGGCAGGAAAACUCUCAUAUUGCUGUUAUACCAACAAGUAAAGACAAGGAUUGAAUAUGAGUGCAGCAGAUAAUAUAGCAUUACAUGGUUUGACAAAGUAUAGUGUGCUAAAAUAUUGGGAACAGUUUUAUUACAUACUUCAGAUGGGCUCUACUCAACACUCAAACCAUGCUUAAGAUCUAGAAACAGAUUCACGAAUAUAAAGAAACUAAAGACACUGGCCAAUAAGUCUUAGCUGGAUGUUUAACUGAAAAGCAUUGUAAGUGAAAGGUUUCAGGCUUUAAAGAUGUUUUCUUUUUGUCACAGAAAAAUGAAACAUUCACAUUGGAUCAUAGAUAAUUAUUAAACUUACCCUUUUUCUUAUUCCAAAAGAUAAUAAUGGUCAAAUUGGUUUUUAUGGCAUUAUUCAUAUUUAACUUAACUCUAUCUUUUAGGCUGUACUUUUACCACAUAUAUACAUGAGAAAAGUAAAUUAAGCAAUAAUUGUUCAUAUUAUAACCUUUUGCAGAAUUAGUUAUAGUUUCUGUAUAUUUCUUGUUCACAUUCAGAUUUUGUAAAAUGGCAAAUCAAUCACAUUUGUUUAUGAUAUUUUCUUUAUGAUGAUUAGGUCUGUCGAUAAGUUCAAAAGUAUGUUUAGCUGAGACAUGCAGCAUCUUUAUGACGCCUGUUAAACUUUGUUCCAUUAUCAAUAAAUUCUUGUUUUACAUUUAUGUUUGUAAAACUGUGUAGGAAUCAGCCUAUAGUUGUCAUGAUUAACUAAUGUGUACUGUGGUCUAUUGGGCUAUACAUAAUGCAAUUUCUAUUUUAUUGCAAUACUUUGUUGUAGUAGAGAUCCCCCUUGAUAAGCCGAAUGAAAAUAAACAGUUUAAGAACAUAGUCUGCACCUAUGUCAUCAGUGCUUUUAUUCUCUGCUGUUGCUCCCUGAGUGAAAAAUGCAUUGAUUUAAGCAAUGCAGUUUAACCCUUUACUGCACACAUUUUGAAAACAGAAUCCCAAGGUGUUACAUCCUGUGAGGCUGUGGGAGUGUGUGGGUGGGGUGUUUGCCUGUUCUCCCCGCCUCCUCCCCUCUUGCCACGCCUACCCCCUCUGUCUCUCUCACUCUCCAGACAGCCUCCCUCUGAAUAGUGAGUAGACGGGCUUGUGGGCCCUGAGAGUGUCUCUUCUUCGUGGUGAGGAGUUAAGUAGGAAGUGUGGGAAGUGCCUUCCUUCUUGUUUAGUAGUUUUCUUGUCUUUUGUUGCUGCGAGUGUUUCUGUUGUUUCUUUGACAUUAUUGGUAAAACGGCGUUGCCGGCUCUUUAAGUUAAUGUUGUUUGUAACAGAACUAUAUUAUUUGUAAUAAAACUAUAUUAUUAUUGAACA
Molecule: long non-coding RNA, 2629 nt
Organism: Oreochromis niloticus (Nile tilapia)
Lineage: Eukaryota; Metazoa; Chordata; Actinopteri; Cichliformes; Cichlidae
Exons: 3
Source: RefSeq, a predicted model, not a curated record